CAGGCUUAACACAUGCAAGUCGAGGGGCAGCAUGGUCUUAGCUUGCUAAGGCCGAUGGCGACCGGCGCACGGGUGAGUAACGCGUAUCCAACCUGCCUUACACUCUUGGACAGCCUUCUGAAAGGGAGAUUAAUACAAGAUGUUAUCAUGAGUAAGCAUUUUCGCAUGAUUAAAGGUUUACCGGUGUAAGAUGGGGAUGCGUUCCAUUAGAUAGUAGGCGGGGUAACGGCCCACCUAGUCUUCGAUGGAUAGGGGUUCUGAGAGGAAGGUCCCCCACAUUGGAACUGAGACACGGUCCAAACUCCUACGGGAGGCAGCAGUGAGGAAUAUUGGUCAAUGGACGAGAGUCUGAACCAGCCAAGUAGCGUGAAGGAUGAAGGUUCUAUGGAUUGUAAACUUCUUUUAUACGGGAAUAAACGGAUCCACGUGUGGAUUUUUGCAUGUACCGUAUGAAUAAGGAUCGGCUAACUCCGUGCCAGCAGCCGCGGUAAUACGGAGGAUCCGAGCGUUAUCCGGAUUUAUUGGGUUUAAAGGGAGCGUAGAUGGGUUGUUAAGUCAGUUGUGAAAGUUUGCGGCUCAACCGUAAGAUUGCAAUUGAUACUGGCAGUCUUGAGUACAGUUGAGGUAGGCGGAAUUCGUGGUGUAGCGGUGAAAUGCUUAGAUAUCACGAAGAACUCCGAUUGCGAAGGCAGCUUACUAACCUGUAACUGACAUUGAUGCUCGAAAGUGUGGGUAUCAAACAGGAUUAGAUACCCUGGUAGUCCACACGGUAAACGAUGAAUACUCGCUGUAGGCGAUAUACAGUCUGCGGCCAAGCGAAAGCAUUAAGUAUUCCACCUGGGGAGUACGCCGGCAACGGUGAAACUCAAAGGAAUUGACGGGGGCCCGCACAAGCGGAGGAACAUGUGGUUUAAUUCGAUGAUACGCGAGGAACCUUACCCGGGCUUAAAUUGCAACCGAAUAUGGCGGAAACGCUAUAGCUAGCAAUAGCGGUUGUGAAGGUGCUGCAUGGUUGUCGUCAGCUCGUGCCGUGAGGUGUCGGCUUAAGUGCCAUAACGAGCGCAACCCUUGCCGAUAGUUACUAACAGGUUAUGCUGAGGACUCUGUCGGGACUGCCAUCGUAAGAUGUGAGGAAGGUGGGGAUGACGUCAAAUCAGCACGGCCCUUACGUCCGGGGCUACACACGUGUUACAAUGGGGGGUACAGAGGGCUGCUACCACGCAAGUGGAUGCCAAUCCCAAAAACCUCUCUCAGUUCGGAUUGAAGUCUGCAACCCGACUUCAUGAAGCUGGAUUCGCUAGUAAUCGCGCAUCAGCCACGGCGCGGUGAAUACGUUCCCGGGCCUUGUACACACCGCCCGUCAAGCCAUGGGAGCCGGGGGUACCUGAAGUGCGUAACCGCAAGGAGCGCCCUAGGGUAAAACUGGUGACUGGG
This 1434-nucleotide ribosomal RNA is filed under the name uncultured organism. Its description in RNAcentral is "16S ribosomal RNA". It matches the Rfam family "Bacterial small subunit ribosomal RNA". The record is from RNAcentral.